Molecule: long non-coding RNA, 1437 nt
Filed under: Equus caballus (horse)
Lineage: Eukaryota; Metazoa; Chordata; Mammalia; Perissodactyla; Equidae
Description: lncRNA (ENSECAG00000044075.1)
Source: RNAcentral
CGUUUUAUAACGAAGAGCCAAAGAACUUAUUUGUUCUUUAUCUUGCCAAGAAAGAUAGCUUGAUCAAAGUAGACAUGAGAACUAUUUCAUUGGAUAUUCUAUCUGAGGAGGAGUUUACCAAGCAUUCAGUGACAAUGUAGGUGGAUCGUGUGGUCUGUCACCAAGUUCAGAAUGCCACCAUGGCAAAUAUUUCCAAUGCUGACUCAAAACCCAUAUUUUGGCAUAAGAAACUUUCUCAGAUCCUCUCUGUGAGCGAAGAAGUUACACACAACAUGCCAGGUGCUCUUGAUACCACUGAUGGUAUGUGAGGAGUGUGAGGAAAUUGAGAAUGCUAGCUUAUCUGUGCAUCUCCCAAGAGCCAUAAGUUUAGAAGCAGAAGUGUCCCACAGAGUCCAAGGCAAGGUUAUUGCAGCUCCAGAGGAAAUGGCUGCAUCCUGGGCUCUGGAUGAAACCUCAGCGAUUCCCUAGUGCCUUUAGAGCUGCAACCUCCAGGCACCAACCACCAGAGGUGCUGAGAAGAGCUCUAUGAGUGUCUUCCUCUGUUCACAGGUACAUUGUGAGACACUGAGCUAGUUUUCUGUGGCUCAUAACAAAUUACCACAAGAUUAGUGGCUUAAAUAAUACAAAUUUUUUUCUCUUAAAGAUCUAGAAGUCAGAAAAUUUGUCUUAUGGGCUAAAAUCAAGGCAUUGGCAUGGCCACAUUCCCUCUAAAAGCUCCAGGGGAGAAUCCAUUUCCUUGCCUUUUCCAACUUCUAGAAGCUGCCUGCAUUCCUUGGCUGUGACCCUCUUCCAUCUUGCAAGCCAGUAAUCACAUCACUUGACCUCUGCUUCCAUUGUCACGUCUCUUUCUCUGACUCUCCUGCCUCACACUAUUCCUCAUAAUGGCCCUUGUGAUUAUAAUGGGCCCACCCAGAUAAUCCAGGAUAAUCUCCCCACCAAGAAAUCCUUAACUUUAUCAUAUCUGCCAAGUCCCUCUUGCUAUGUAAGGUUUUGGGAAUUAGGAUCUGGAUAUCUUUGCGGAGCCAUUAUUCUGUCUACUACAGACAUCAUGGGGCAAAACACUGAACUGCAGAGGUCAAAAAGAGGUUAACCUUCAACACUGAGGGCACCACACAGCCCGCACUGAGAAAUUGGUGCGUAUUCCAUGUGUCAUGAGGACGAAACACGCUCUGCAGAGAAAGCCUGAGAGUUCAACCUGCUGGACCAGGAAAACAACCCAUUAUCUGAAAAAUCCUGACCCUCAUCUUCUGCGUCCUGCGCUGCUCAGAUAACUCAGUUGAACUGCUAUAACGAGACUAUGAUUGAAUCAUUUCUGCGAGAUGUCCAGAUGUUAGAGUACAGCCUGUGCAGCAGGGAUGAGAAUCAUGGAGGAGGCAGGAGGGUGGCUCUGGAUUAUAAGCUGGAGGGGAGCGAAGGCCUCUGCUGUGACGAGUGUGC